Molecule: ribosomal RNA, 497 nt
Filed under: uncultured bacterium
Lineage: Bacteria
Description: partial 16S ribosomal RNA
Rfam family: Bacterial small subunit ribosomal RNA
Source: RNAcentral
GAUGAACGCUGGCGGCGUGCCUAAUACAUGCAAGUCGAGCGAACGGACGAUAAUCUUGCUUCUCUGAUGUUAGCGGCGCACGUGUGAGUCACACGUGUAUAACCUACCUAUAAUACUGGUAUAUCUUCGGGAAACCGGAUCUAAUACCGUAUAAUCUUUUGAACCGCAUUGUUCAAAAGUGAAAUACGGUCUUUCUGUCUCUUCUAGAUGGUUCCGCGCUGCAUUAGCUAGUUGUUAAGGUAACGGCUUACCAAGGCAACGAUGCAUAGCCGACCUGAGAGGGGGAUAGGCCACACGAGAACGGAGACACGGUCCAGAGUCCUACGAGAGGGAGCAGUAGGGAAUGUUACGCAGUGGGGGAAAGCCUGACGGAGCAAGGGCGCGUGAGAGAUGAAGGUGUUCGGAUCGUAAAACCCUGUUAUGAGGGAAGAACAGAUGUGUAAGUAAAUGUGCAGAUAUUGACGGUAACUAAUAAGAAAGCAACGGCUAACUACGUG